UUCCAUCAAAUUUUAACUGAAUUUACUUAAACUAAUCGAUCAACCCAUCCGUUCAAAAUUGUCAAAAUCAUUGUCAUUCAUGCAUAUCCAUUACCAAACAAGAUCAAUAAACAAGAAACAAAAACAACAAAAGUCGAAAAACAAAUAAGAAAAAAUGUUUUAAAGAAAAAGAAGAUUUUUGUUGUUGUUGUUGUUGUUGUUUUUGGAAAACCCGUGAAAUCUCACUUGGAGCCAGAAAAAAAGUCGUUUUUUUUUACUAAUUUCUCCCUCAUCAAAGCAAUUUACUAAUUGCUAUUUUUUUUUUGUUUUUAUUAAUUUGAAUGUCACCAUUCAUCCAUUCCAUUUAAUCAUAAAUCAAAUUAUCAAUCAAAAAAAAAAAAA
This is a long non-coding RNA of Dermatophagoides pteronyssinus (European house dust mite), 381 nucleotides long. The record is from RefSeq and is a predicted model, not a curated record. Lineage: Eukaryota; Metazoa; Arthropoda; Arachnida; Sarcoptiformes; Pyroglyphidae.